Micropterus dolomieu (smallmouth bass) is the source of this 1691-nucleotide long non-coding RNA. RefSeq lists it as uncharacterized. The record is from RefSeq and is a predicted model, not a curated record. Lineage: Eukaryota; Metazoa; Chordata; Actinopteri; Centrarchiformes; Centrarchidae. The transcript is spliced from 2 exons.
UUCUCACUUGCACUUACAAUGUUGAGUCAAACCAAUGCAUGUGUGUGUGUGUGAGAGCAAAAGAGAGCGCAUUGCACCUUAGUUAAUGGUGCAAGGCCUUGAAUACUCUAGAAAGCAACAUUCUUUUCUGACCCUCCUUAAGUUGUUGACAACCACAAAGUGAGCAUGAAAUCAUCGGCUACAACCAAUAAGGCAGCAGGAGCUCCUCCUUCCCAGGAACCAGUUGUGUUCCUCAGAGAGAAGUUGUUCUGUGGCAAAAUGGCUCCUUACAAAGACAGGAAGGAAAAGACCAAAACACUCAUGGGAAAGGACAGAAGGUGUGAGAGUAAUGUGAGCUGUCAGCAGAGUGGACCUGUGUCUUCUCCGACAAUCUAUCAACAGGAUGCUCCCUACAUCUGCACAUCACAGUCAAAACUUAGCCAAGUUUUUGACUCAAAACAGAAGAUUGAGCUGUUUUGGCCCCCACUAUAUUCUAAUUUGCCAUCAAUUAUUCAGAUUGAUAUGCCAGUGUAUGGUAUUCUUUAGUGAAUGGGAAAUCAACAUCCUUUUGCAGUGGGAAUUGCUGGCAACACAUCAUUCCCUGGUGUGCUCCUACGCAGUACAGCAUUUCUACAUGACAGUUUUCUACUGUAUGUCCAAAUGGCCCAUUAUGGACAACUCCAUUUAGCAUGUUAUCACGUCUCCACAAGUAACACUAUUUCAACACCGCUUGGAUCAAUGCUCCCCAGCAUUGCGGGUGGCUCGGGAGAAAUCGAUGCGCCCUUUGUCAGACGAGACACAUUCGUGCCCUGCUGCUCUGUCGUGCAAAAUGCAGAUGGCUGAGGACAGAGAUGUAUGAAGAAGGCAUUGCUGCUGUGUCAGGGAUACAGAGGAAGAAACGUGGGAGGAUUAUUAUUAUGACGUAGUAUCGAUCCAAGUUGGAAAACAACCCCAGGAUGCAGAGAGCUGCAGGGGAAUGGAUGCUCAAUCGAUCCGAUCCCUUGUGCCAGACAAAGCACAGGAUUAUAGAUGCUUGCAUGGACAAAAUAAUGGAUAAAACAAUGCAUGGACAGCUAGACAGGCAGACUCCGAGAUAAAGACAGAUUGGACAGAUAAAUCUUGGGGCCCGGCAACGGAGAAAUGUGAACUGGCUCACACAAAAUAAACCAAAGAGGAAAAAUAAUCAUGAAAAUGUCAAUCUUAAAACUGCAGAUGUGAUUUAAUGUUAAACCAACUCUACAAAUGGCAUUAUAUAACAGUCAAUUGCAAUUAGCAUGGAACAGCAUGCUUGGAGCCAAGCCCAGUCAUAAUCGGGCCAAUGUGUGGACAGAGAGCAUCACUAGGCCCGGUCACUUAAUCCCUCUUCCCUUCAUACUCACUCCUAAGAGCAAUAGGGAAAUUUGAUGCCAGUAUACCAGGUACACAAAAGGGCAUAUUUAGUUUAGUGCUCCUGAGGAAAUGGAAAUAACAAAAUAAUUAUAGGAAUGUUUUUGUAGUAAAUUCUGCCCUGUUUGUGUCUGCUCUUGCUGGCAGUUUGUGCAUCCUGUUGGAUCAGACCAUCGAUGGUGCAGAGCCACAGAUGGGGAAUGAUGUUGACCAGAUUGUGUCUCUGAAGCCUCGAAAAGACCUAAAACCUGCGUCCUCCAGGGAUUAAUGACGUCUUGUAGGAAAUUGCCCUAAUCCAAAAUAAAUCCAGCGGGAUAUUCUAGUAA